Molecule: long non-coding RNA, 1189 nt
Filed under: Sus scrofa (pig)
Lineage: Eukaryota; Metazoa; Chordata; Mammalia; Artiodactyla; Suidae
Description: lncRNA (ENSSSCG00040076229.1)
Source: RNAcentral
UUUUGUAGCGCGGGGCCCGUGGGCAAGAGGCCCGGGAGACUGCGAUAGCAGAGGGGAAGUCGCCAAUGGCUACCUGGAUCGAGUCCCCUUUGUAUUUCGUUCACAUCACCCUUUUUUCUUCCACCGAGACACCGCAUCCUUUGGCUACCGUCGGUGGCGCGGUGGUGGGAGUGUAAGAGGAGGUCUGCUUCCGCUGCCACCAUUACCUGUUUCUUGGAUGGUUAAGCUUGAGUAAAGGAAACUUCUGGAAAGUGGCCAAAGACCCUUGACAUGCCCCCCGCAGAGGAAACAUCGCUGACGUCAUCUCUGCUUGUCCACUCUGUGCUUCAGUCAAGCCCAAGGCCAUCCCAGCGGCAAACUUUUGCUGCCCUCUCCCAGAAUGCCUGCUGAAACUGCCUCCUUGAGUCUGAAGGGGACCAGUGGAAACUUUGGGGGACAUAUUUUCGGGAGGCCAAGGCUCAAAUUGCCUGCCCAGGAACACAGUCAAGGAAGUGCUUUGGUCUAUUCUAGGCUUGUGGUCCAACACCAGAGACAGCUUCCUUGUAAACUCGAAGAGGUUGAUCAUGGGUCUAUUAUUUGCAUAGUGUAUCUUUGCAUCUGCAUUCACUUAAUAUCCAAAUGCUUAGAAAACUGCCAGCCAGUUUUGUGGCUCUAACAAGGCAGUGUCUUGUUCUUUGAAAGCCUCCGAGUAAAAACAGUUUAUAUGUGCUUUGGAAGUGCUUGUCUGAAAUCUAAAGUUAACCUCUGUUUGUAGUCACGUCUUCUGGAUUAGUUACAGUACCCUGAACACUGAGCAGAGGACAGAGGGAGUAGGGUUUUGUUUUUCUCAGUCUGGAAAAGCCCAUCCUUGCUCUGUCUGUAAGCAUAUCCUUCUGGGAGGAAAAUGUUAUCAGCAAUAUUCCGAUGACCUGGGAUGGGGCUGAGGAUCAGGAAGGGAGCCCAACAACCCGAGGAUCGUUUUUGUGUUUCUUUUGGUGUUAAAUUGCUGUCUUGUUGAUGGAGGAAGGUAAGAAGGGGUGGAGACCCGGCUCGGUGGAGUUGGGAGGAGCAUGGGCAGAGUCAUGUGGGCUUGGCUUCCUUUCCUUCGAUCUCGCUUACCCAGUGAGCUAGAGAGAAUUUGCAACCACCUUCAACUAGAGAACAAUCUGCAAGCCAAUCUGCCCUGGGCACUGCCUCCGGGAACUUACAC